Long non-coding RNA from Vidua macroura (Pin-tailed whydah), 911 nucleotides. RefSeq lists it as uncharacterized. NCBI's taxonomy places the organism in Eukaryota, Metazoa, Chordata, Aves, Passeriformes, Viduidae. The record is from RefSeq and is a predicted model, not a curated record. The transcript is spliced from 3 exons.
AUCCCAGUUUCUGCAUCUCCUUCGCUGACCUGGGAUGCAAUAUUUGGGCCCCCUCACUAUAAGAAAGACAUCAAGGUGCUGGAUCAUGUCCUGAGAAGGGCAAAAAAGCUGAUCUGGAGGGUCUGGAGCACAAAUUUUAUGAGGUGCAGCUAAGGGAGCUGCGAAUGUUUAGUCUGAAGAACAGAAGUUUCAGGGUGGACCUUAUGGCUCUCUACAACUGCAUGAAAGGAGGUUGUGUGACUGAAUGAAGACUGCUGAGAAUGCUUGGAAGGGAAUAGCUUCAAUGACAGUAGGAGGGCUUUGUGAAGGAAAAAUGAGAAGCAACUCCAGAGAACAACAAUGAGACUCAGACAACAUUGAAAAGAGUUGGAAGCUGACAGAGAAGUCUCUGCUGUGACAGGAAGUCUUCCUAAGACUGGCCUGUACUGAACCCGCUGCAACUCCUGUAUUUGCAAGACCAACUAAAACCAAGGGUAAAAACUGGAAACCAUCUUCCAAGAAUGCACGUGAAUAGAGACGAGGUGACAUAAACAUCUAUUGUUUCUCUGCUGUCAUUCUGUAUUUGAAAGGGAAAUGUUCUGUUAGAAAAAUGCAUGAGCUGUUCCAUACUUAGUUUCAAACACAGAAUACAAGACUGAAUUCCUUGCCAAGGUCCAAAGUGAGGAUGUGCAAAAAGCAUCAGCAUGUGUAUCCAUUUGACUGUUAAAGAGAGAACAGAGCAAAGCUGCAAAAGAAAGGAACAUAAAUUAAACAUUAAGCCACUAUAAAAUCAUCAGAGAUAAAGAGGACACAAUGGGAAGCUGAACUGACCAGAUGGUCUGAAGAUCAAAUAUGCUUUUAGAGUUUUGUUUUCAUCUGUAAUAUUCAUGGAAGCAGAGAAAAGGAGAUAUUCCCUGAGUGUACUCUGAAGA